GAGGGUAUAGCUCAGUGGUAGAGCACAUGCUUAGCAUGCAGGAAGUCCUGGGUUCAAUUCCCAGCACCCCCA
RNAcentral lists this transfer RNA (72 nucleotides) under Camelus bactrianus (Bactrian camel). It matches the Rfam family "tRNA". Rfam says of the family: Transfer RNA (tRNA) molecules are approximately 80 nucleotides in length. Their secondary structure includes four short double-helical elements and three loops (D, anti-codon, and T loops). Further hydrogen bonds mediate the characteristic L-shaped molecular structure. tRNAs have two regions of fundamental functional importance: the anti-codon, which is responsible for specific mRNA codon recognition, and the 3' end, to which the tRNAs corresponding amino acid is attached (by aminoacyl-tRNA synthetases). tRNAs cope with the degeneracy of the genetic code in two manners: having more than one tRNA (with a specific anti-codon) for a particular amino acid; and 'wobble' base-pairing, i.e. permitting non-standard base-pairing at the 3rd anti-codon position. RNAcentral also lists the same sequence under 3 other names. The record is from Rfam by way of RNAcentral. Lineage: Eukaryota; Metazoa; Chordata; Mammalia; Artiodactyla; Camelidae.